GUCCAGAUGACGAGUCCCAAAUAGGACGAAAUGCGCAUCCUAGUC
RNAcentral lists this non-coding RNA (45 nucleotides) under Trichobilharzia regenti. Lineage: Eukaryota; Metazoa; Platyhelminthes; Trematoda; Strigeidida; Schistosomatidae. The record is from RNAcentral.